Molecule: ribosomal RNA, 405 nt
Filed under: uncultured bacterium
Lineage: Bacteria
Description: bacterial SSU rRNA
Rfam family: Bacterial small subunit ribosomal RNA
Source: RNAcentral
AUUGAACGCUGGCGGCAUGCCUUACACAUGCAAGUCGAACGGCAGCACGGGAGCUUGCUCCUGGUGGCGAGUGGCGAACGGGUGAGUAAUACAUCGGAACGUACCCUGAAGUGGGGGAUAACGUAGCGAAAGUUACGCUAAUACCGCAUAUUCUGUGAGCAGGAAAGAGGGGGAUCGCAAGACCUCUUGCUUUAGGAGCGGCCGAUGUCGGAUUAGCUAGUUGGUGAGGUAAAGGCUCACCAAGGCGACGAUCCGUAGCGGGUCUGAGAGGAUGAUCCGCCACACUGGGACUGAGACACGGCCCAGACUCCUACGGGAGGCAGCAGUGGGGAAUUUUGGACAAUGGGCGCAAGCCUGAUCCAGCCAUGCCGCGUGAGUGAAGAAGGCCUUCGGGGUUGUUAAAGG